GGUUGGUUUGAGUGCAGUGGUGUUUACAGUGAAUUGAUCACAGCCAGUUAUAGAUUUUUGUUCCUCUCCACUCCCACUGCUUCAAUUGACUAGCCUAAA
Molecule: unclassified non-coding RNA, 99 nt
Organism: Nomascus leucogenys (northern white-cheeked gibbon)
Lineage: Eukaryota; Metazoa; Chordata; Mammalia; Primates; Hylobatidae
Rfam family: Y RNA
About the family: Y RNAs are components of the Ro ribonucleoprotein particle (Ro RNP), in association with Ro60 and La proteins. The Y RNAs and Ro60 and La proteins are well conserved, but the function of the Ro RNP is not known.
Source: Ensembl